AACGAUUAAAGCUCUCUUCGGAGAGUGCAUAGAGUGGCGCACGGGUGAGUAACACGUAAGUAAUCUACCUUCGAGUGGGGAAUAACGUCCGGAAGCGGACGCUAAUACCGCAUAAUGCAGCGGCAUCGUAAGAUGACAGUUGUUAAAGAUUUAUCGCUUGAAGAGGAGCUUGCGGCAGAUUAGCUAGUUGGUAAGGUAAUGGCUUACCAAGGCUACGAUCUGUAACCGGUCUUAGAGGACGGUCGGUCACACUGACACUGAAUAACGGGUCAGACUCCUACGGGAGGCAGCAGUCGGGAAUUUUGGGCAAUGGGCGAAAGCCUGACCCAGCAACGCCGCGUGAAGGAUGAAGUAUUUCGGUAUGUAAACUUCGAAAGAAUAGGAAGAAUAAAUGACGGUACUAUUUAUAAGGUCCGGCUAACUACGUGCCAGCAGCCGCGGUAAUACGUAGGGACCAAGCGUUGUUCGGAUUUACUGGGCGUAAAGGGCGCGUAGGCGGCUUUGUAAGUCACUUGUGAAAUCUCUGAGCUUAACUCAGAACGGCCAAGUGAUACUGCAAUGCUAGAGUGCAGAAGGGGCAAUCGGAAUUCUUGGUGUAGCGGUGAAAUGCGUAGAUAUCAAGAGGAACACCUGAG
RNAcentral lists this ribosomal RNA (635 nucleotides) under uncultured bacterium. RNAcentral describes it as "bacterial SSU rRNA". It matches the Rfam family "Bacterial small subunit ribosomal RNA", at positions 65 to 714 of the family's 1533-position model. The record is from RNAcentral.